GAAAUGCCCGAAAAAGGAUUAUUGUGAUACAAUAAAACAUGCAUGUAAGUUAAUGUGCUUUCG
This 63-nucleotide transfer RNA is filed under the name Trialeurodes vaporariorum (greenhouse whitefly). RNAcentral describes it as "tRNA-Ile". Lineage: Eukaryota; Metazoa; Arthropoda; Insecta; Hemiptera; Aleyrodidae. The record is from RNAcentral.